GCUUAUAGUCACCAACCACUACUGGGUAACGUAAUAUUACUAUAAAAAAUUUUAUGUUAAAACUAGUAACANGAAGAAGACCCUUCUCUUAAAUGCAAGCGUAAAUCAGAAAGGACAAACCACUGAUACUUACCAUUUUUGAGCCUGAAAUAGAAACUCAUCAAGAAAACCCUACUUAUAUCUAUGCUAACCUUACACUAGAGCAUUCUAAGAAAGAUUAAAAGAAAAAGAAGGAACUCGGCAAAUAUUAACCUCGCCUGUUUACCAAAAACAUCUCCUCUUGACUAGAUAUAUGAGGUCCAGUCUGUCCAGUGACCAUGGACAACGGCCGCGGUAUCCUAACCGUGCGAAGGUAGCGUAAUCACUUGUUCUUUAAAUGAGGACUAGUAUGAAUGGCAUCACGAAGGUUAUACUGUCUCCUUUUUCCAAUCAGUGAACCUAAUCUCCCCGUGAAGAAGCGGGGAUAAAAUUAUAAGACGAGAAGACCCUAUGGAGCUUAAAACAAUACAGCACUUGCUAAAAAAUUUAACAAUUUCAGAAUUUUUUAAUCUCUAAGCACUAUGACUGUAAGUUUUUGGUUGGGGUGACCACGGAGCAUAACACAACCUCCAUGUUGAAUGAACUUUUUUCUAAGCCAAAAAUUACACUUUUAAGCAUCAAUAAAUUGACAUCUAUUGACCCAAUAUGUUUGAACAACGAACCAAGUUACCCUAGGGAUAACAGCGCAAUCCAUUUCAAGAGCUCCUAUCGACAAGUGGGUUUACGACCUCGAUGUUGGAUCAGGGUUUCCCAGUGGUGCAGCCGC
Molecule: ribosomal RNA, 805 nt
Filed under: Peltophryne longinasus (Cuban long-nosed toad)
Lineage: Eukaryota; Metazoa; Chordata; Amphibia; Anura; Bufonidae
Description: partial 16S ribosomal RNA
Rfam family: Bacterial large subunit ribosomal RNA
Source: RNAcentral